RNAcentral lists this ribosomal RNA (117 nucleotides) under Hucho hucho (huchen). The record is from RNAcentral. Lineage: Eukaryota; Metazoa; Chordata; Actinopteri; Salmoniformes; Salmonidae.
CCUCUGAACCAUACCACCCUGCAUCCCACUGCUGGCUUGCCUCUGAAGCUAAGUAGGGUAGGUCCUGGUCGGUCUCUGGAUGGGAUACCAGAUGCUGUUGGAAGUGGUUUUGGAGGG